UCCUGAGGUCAGGACUCUCUCCUUAUCCAGCAGUGGUGCAGAUGGAGUGGCAGCAGCAGCAACAUUCUCCCUGGAAGUGGGUUCAUUUUGUCACAUAGAAAUGUGUCGUCUUUCUUUCUGGGGCCUGCCAGGGGUCACCCCUGCUUGGUGCAGCACAUGAUCUCAUGCAUUUUCUGUAAAAGCUCUCUGCUAUCAUCAGCAUUAACAGCUGGGAGAUGCAAAGUGCUCUAGGUUUGCCACGAAGUGUAGUGCAAGUGUGGGAGCUGAUGAAUCUGUUCCCCAAGGGAGAGACUGUAGAGCUGCUCAUUUACCUUUGUUAGGCAGCAAACAGAUUGUCUGGGCACAGCCAUACCGUGGUGAAGAGUUGAAGGGCCCCAGCAGUGCCUGCUGACAGCUCCAGCUCAACAGGGGGGUGGAUCCAAACCAUGGAUCCAGAGCAGUGCUUGUGGUGCAAUCCCUGGGAUGCGCUCUUGACGCAUGGAAUGAACUCUGCCAUGCAAUGGCUUGCCAAGGUAUCUCCUGCAACUCAUUACCCAAAGGAGAGGUACCACAUACUUAUGUAUGUGGUCCUGUCUGAUCUGUAAGAUGCCACCGCAAUCAUUAUGACUUUUUUUUUUCUCUUGUUUUUUUUUGCUCAGAAUGUGUGAACGUGCUCAAUUCAAGGCUAAGCUUUCCAUUAAGUCACAUAAGUCCGACAAAGAGUCCGUGCAGAUCAGCUCCCAGUGGUGCUGGGUUGGUGAGUGCGGGUCUGGUAGCAGCGUGGUUGUCCUUGGAGCCCAUCUCGUGCUGCUCCCAUUGCCAUUCCUUGUGAAUGCUCUGCGUUUGCCAGAGGGCUGCAAAUGAGAGGGCUGCUGCGUGGUGUUUCAUCACAUCCACACAUCUUGGUGUCCCCACGGUGUGAGCUUGGCUGGUGUGGCCUUGGGGCUCCUCCUGAGGCAGCGCAGGUCUAAAAACACUGAUGAAAAGCUGAUUAAUCCUUGUAAGCGAGCAGCGAUAGCUUCUCUCCAGAACUGAAGAGAUUACCACUGAUUUGUCAUCCUGAUUGUUUCAAAGAGAGGUGCAAUUAGUUGCUCUAAUUUAGCUUCGCUGCUGCUCGCUGAGUGGCAUGACAACUGAGAUGUAAUCAGGAGCUCCGCACACAACGCAGCCACCGAUGGGUGCAGCUGUGCCUGCCACCAUUUCGCACACCAAGGGUGGGCCCAAAAUGGUGGAGCACUGUGUGCUCGUACCCCUCCAACUGCAUUGGGCCAAGUGUGUGUGCUCUACUCUGAGACCUGCAGGGCUUCCUAUGGAGUAGGCUCUAAGCCACGGGGUUGUGGCUGAGCGCCCUGGAGGAUGCUUUGCCUGGUGCAAUAAAAUUAAUACUAGCUAUAGGAGAAGGUGCGUG
This 1387-nucleotide long non-coding RNA is filed under the name Coturnix japonica (Japanese quail). RNAcentral describes it as "lncRNA (ENSCJPG00005008471.1)". Lineage: Eukaryota; Metazoa; Chordata; Aves; Galliformes; Phasianidae. The record is from RNAcentral.